This is a non-coding RNA of Cinara cedri, 483 nucleotides long. The record is from the annotation of a GenBank genome assembly. Lineage: Eukaryota; Metazoa; Arthropoda; Insecta; Hemiptera; Aphididae.
UUACUUUAAAUCAUCUAUAUAUAUUUUUUAUUUUAAAGGUUCUAAAUAAGCGUUUUAGUAAUUUUUCUUCAUUCAAAUUUGUCUACAGCAAUGUAUUCAAAGGACACUAUACCCGCAUCUGUCUCACUCUAACAGGCAACAUAGCAAAAUUAUAUAAUUUGUAAAUAUAAAUUGUAACAUUUAGGUUAAAUUAAGAAGUUUAGUGUAAUUCAAAAAAGGCGUACAUACAUUGCAUGAUGGGUGGGACACCGUUAUAGGUGAGAAGUGGGGAAGGUAGGAUAUAGAAAGAAAUUUAAUGUAUAUCUGUAUGCAAUGAUUAAUAAUUUCUAAUGAAAAAUGAUGCUGAGCAGAGUUCAGUUAUACAAUAUACAUGUUAAAAAAGGUCAUUAUGCUUGAUUGUCAUAUCCAAAUUUGAUAUUAAAAUUCUUAUAAAAAAUAAUAUACUACAUUAAUAACUACAAAUACGACUAACAAUAAACCUCC